GUGAAUCAUCGAAUCUUUGAACGCAAAUUGCACUUUCUGGUAUUCCGGAAAGUAUGCCUGUUUGAGGGUCAGUUAAAUAAAAAUCGGUGCUGUUGCUGCCUUUCGUGGCGACGCGUCGGAAUUGGGUUGUCUUUCCUUCGGAUAAGAUUCUUAAACUUUUUGCAUGAUACUCGAACGUAUUUAAAUCUCUUAUGUACGUU
Molecule: unclassified non-coding RNA, 200 nt
Filed under: Glomus sp.
Lineage: Eukaryota; Fungi; Glomeromycota; Glomeromycetes; Glomerales; Glomeraceae
Description: partial contains 5.8S ribosomal RNA and internal transcribed spacer 2
Rfam family: 5.8S ribosomal RNA (bases 1-71)
Source: RNAcentral